GCAGUGGGGAGCUGUUGAGAGCAUUUUGAGUGGGGCAGUGACACUGCUGGCUCUGCAUUUUGGAAAGGUGGUUUUCAGAGCAGUUUGGAUGAUGCUGGGGAGUAGCUGACAGGUUGAAGAUCAGUCCUGAGGAGCAGAUUCAUAAUCCACUUAGGAAAAAGGAGGGGGGAUGCACGGAGUUAGCACAUAUUAAGUGCCUGCUGUAGUCAAGCCCUGUUGGACACCAGGGACAUCUGGACCUUGACAACGGAGCGAAGGGGUGGUCCUGCCUGCACCAGGUUUCAGGUGAGGAGAUUGAGGCCCACAGAGAUCCGGGACUGGCCUCACUUAGCUGUGGCUUCUCAGGCUUCUCUGCAGCAUGGGUGUUCCUGCCUUGGCCAGAGCCGAAAUCCCAGAGCAGUGAAAGAGGAGCCAGUGUCAUGGGGCUUCUGGUUUCAGGACACACUGGAAAGGCUGGUCCCUGAGUGCUCCAAGGACCCAUGCAUCUGACCAUAGGGGAUGCUGGGAGUAUCCUCCAUCCUGGCCUGAAAGAGCUCCCUUUCAGCUUCCUGGAUUCAUAUCUGUCUUUCUGAAAACUGACUUCCCAUAUUCCCAAAGCCAUCGCCAGCUCCCAGCUUUGUCAUUCAGGAAAAAGAGUAUGCACCUCCCCUUCAUCCUCCUCAUCUCUCACCAUCAUUAAGUACAAGCCCAAGGAGAAGAAUCAAGGGCAAUGAAUCUUCAUCAAACAAUAAAAUCCUGCCUGGGUCCAGCCACUUUGUCACAAGCUACAUCUAUGGCGAGCAACGACUCCCGGCUGCAGGGUGAGACAGAUAAGAGGAUAAGAGGGAGCAGGAGCAGACGGAGAAAGAAGGUGGCAAGACAGAGCAG
RNAcentral lists this long non-coding RNA (867 nucleotides) under Homo sapiens (human). RNAcentral describes it as "non-protein coding lnc-ALG2-6:20". Lineage: Eukaryota; Metazoa; Chordata; Mammalia; Primates; Hominidae. The record is from RNAcentral.